Molecule: ribosomal RNA, 739 nt
Filed under: uncultured bacterium
Lineage: Bacteria
Description: bacterial SSU rRNA
Rfam family: Bacterial small subunit ribosomal RNA
Source: RNAcentral
GGGGCCGAAGUAGAGUGGCGCACGGGUGAGUAACACGUAGGUAAUCUACCUCUGGGUGGGGAAUAACGACCGGAAACGGUCGCUAAUACCGCAUAAUGCAGCGGCACCACAUGGUGACAGUUGUUAAAGCGGGGGAUCGUAAGACCUCGCGCCUAGAGAUGAGCCUGCGGCGGAUUAGCUAGUUGGCAGGGUAACGGCCUACCAAGGCGACGAUCCGUAGCCGGCCUGAGAGGGCGGACGGCCACACUGGCACUGACAUACGGGCCAGACUCCUACGGGAGGCAGCAGUCGGGAAUUUUGGGCAAUGGGCGAAAGCCUGACCCAGCAACGCCGCGUGAAGGAUGAAGCUUUUCGGAGUGUAAACUUCAUAAGAAUGGGACGAAUAAGGAGGGGUUAACACCCCCUUUGAUGACGGUACCAUUUGUAAGCUCCGGCUAACUCCGUGCCAGCAGCCGCGGUAACACGGGGGGAGCAAGCGUUGUUCGGAUUUACUGGGCGUAAAGGGCGCGUAGGCGGCGCAACAAGUCACUUGUGAAAUCUCCGGGCUUAACCCGGAGCGGCCAAGUGAUACUGUCGUGCUAGAGUGCGGAAGGGGCUACUGGAAUUCUCGGUGUAGCGGUGAAAUGCGUAGAUAUCGAGAGGACACCUGCGGCGAANGCGGGUAGCUGGGCCGACACUGACGCUGAGGCGCGAAAGCCAGGGGAGCGAACGGGAUUAGAUACCCCGGUAGUCCUGGCCU